This is a long non-coding RNA of Lemur catta (Ring-tailed lemur), 3198 nucleotides long. RefSeq lists it as uncharacterized. Lineage: Eukaryota; Metazoa; Chordata; Mammalia; Primates; Lemuridae. The transcript has 6 exons. The record is from RefSeq and is a predicted model, not a curated record.
GGAAGCAAACACACGCCCAUGGGCCUCUCUGGUGACUGUUUUCACCCCGUCUCAGGCCGGAACAAAGAGCCUUUUUAUGAGGCGGUCAAGGCCCGGGGCUUGGGUGGCUCCUCCAAGCCGCCACAGCCAGAGCUGUCUCUGCCUGUGCUCGGGUGACCAUGGCCCCAGCCCGCCCCGCACGCUGCCGUGUCCAGGGGGGGAGACCCGGCCGGCCCUGCCUCCUGGUGGACUUCCGGCUCCCAGGCCGCCUCUGAGGGUCUGCCCGGGCUGCAGGCUCAGGCCGGGGCGGAGGGGGUGCUGGCUGCACACACACCCCGAAAGACGCCCCCUCCCCACCCUGGAAGCCGGAGCGCGUGACCCACACGGCCACAGGGACCCCGCGUGAGCGGCUGAGGGUCCUGGCAGGGCCCGCAGGAGACGGGUGGAGAAGGGGUCCUGCCUCUCGACACAGGGACCGACAGGUCACCGUGCAAGCUGUCCAGGGAUUGAGACCCGAGCCGUGAGCCUGACCACAAACGCCAGCUGGGCAGCUCCGUGCGGGGACAUUACACAGGUGCACGGCCCUGUCAGGGUCACCCAGGACUCCACAGCCUGAAGGUGCCGAUUCCCUGACCCCCAACACCACCCAGGCUCCCUGAGCGGCACCUGCCCGGCCACGUUCCCAAGGCAGCCGAGUGACUCAGGGCCCCUCCCCAGCCAGACACCACCCACUCUCCCGAGGACCCCUCCCCGCUGCGGGACACCCCCGCUGUGUCUCCCCUGUCCCCUCCCACACUCCUCUCAGCACGGGGGAGGAGGGGGCUGCAGAGGUGGGGCCGGGUUGAGACACAAGGCGCAGCCCACAGCCCUACUGCACUCCAGGUUCCCACUCGCACCUGCCCGGUGUGAGACCACCCACGUGGUGGCAGAAAGCAGCCUCUGUCCAGCGGAGCCGUCUGUCCGGACGAUGCCCCCCGGACGCCGUGUGGAAGUUGUAGCUCACUGAGGGCCCGGCAGGAUAACUGGAGGAGGCGUAACGAUGGGAUUCUCAGCUGGUCCUCGGGAUUUCCGCAGCCCCUGUGACCUAAAGCCAGACCCAGGCGAUUCCGGGAGAUCAGCCCUUCCACACGUGAGCCACGCAUCUCUGUCACACGGGCUUUGUCUCUCCAAGAGCCUGCAACACGCCCAGAGCUGUAACUAACACACCCUGUCCCUUAUGGGCGUCCCACGGGGCAUCUCCCCCCCAGACCACCUUCCUCCCAAGCCCUCGUGGCACCCCCAGAGCCACGUGCCUCUCGCGGCGGAGCUGGGUCCAUGGCGCAUGGCUUUGGGGCUGACAGUAACCAGGGCGCCCCCUGACUCCCCCAGAUCCCGUCCGGCCUGCCUGGCACUGCCUGUCCCGACACAGCCGGGGUCUGGGCGGGGCGGGCCUGUCCCUCCCCGGCCGGGACGCGGGUCAGAGCCAGACACCCCUUGCUCGGCUCCAGACCAAGAACAAUCUUGAAGGAAACCGCGUCGGGCCCGACUCCAGGCCAGGCGGUUAAACAUGGAUCCUGAUCACAGAUCGUUUCUGCUAAUUAAACAAAAUAUUUUUCCAGCGCUGUCUUGGUUUCCGCUGUUGCCGUUGGCACGGGUUGCUGGCACGCGGGCAGAGCCGUGCCCCGAAAGGCAGCACGGGGCAGAGGAGGACAAACGGGGCUUUUGAAGUCACAGCAAAGGCAGGUCUUCAAAGCAGGGCCAUUGUGGGUCCAAACAGAGCGGAGGAAGAGGACGUACAGGCACGCACCAAAGCCCUUAGAGACAAGAGCCCGUGUGGGCACGAGUUCUCCACGUGGCAAAGAUUAGCAGAGGUCCUCAGCCCCGCCGGGAACGUUAUGGCCACAAACUCCCCCUCACCCUGGUCCCAGGGAAACGCCCACGCACACAAUGUGUUGGUACAAGUUCAGGAUGUUUGUGAACUCUCUGAAGCCCGCCAGGAGCACGCCAGUGGUUCCAAGUUUAGAAUCCAGCCCUGGAGAAGUCAGGACGUGUUGCCAGUCUCCAAACUGUCAGCAGAAUUGUCGAGAAUAUAAAGUUCGUCCUCUCUCAGUGGCCCAGAGACCCCUUGACUGGAAGCUGCAGCACCCAGAGCCUCCACUGCCAGGCCCUCCCUGAGCUGUCCUACUAAACUUGGGACACCCCCCCCCCCGGCCUUCCCCAGAAAACGCUCUACAGGGCGCUGUCCCCUCAUUGCACACGCAGCAGCCCUCCAGCCUGACAUGGCCCCCAGUAAAAAGUCCCCGGCUCACAUCAAAGGAGCCUCCGUGUUACGAGGGACUCAGCGUCCUUCCGGAGGGAGUUUUCUCUCUGGCGACCAGGACUUCCUCGGGCUCGGCUGGGCCAACGUGUUUCAUCUCCGCGGCGUGUCCUGUUCUCUGGACGGGGAAUCUGUGGGCACAUCAGGUCUUAGCGCCGAGGAGCUGCCACCAAACAAUACAUCAAAGGCAGUUUCUUUCCACAGUAGAGAUGGUCUCGUUAUGAUUCAGGAACAAAUUCUACCCGAAGCUGCAGAAGGUCCCAGCGUGGAGGGACCCUCUCCCUGAGCCCUGAGCCCUGAACCCCACCGGGCACGUUGUCAGAUGGUGUGUGGCAGCGUCUUUUCCCCCGGGGGGGGUCUGGGAGUGGAAGAGCAUGUAGCCCCCGUCGUCCUUCAGCUCCUGGGAGAACCGGCCGGCGUCACCCAAUGGCACUUCCUCCUUUUGGCAUGCGAGGUUGGCACGGGGGUCCCAGGAGCUGCGUGGAUGCUGCGGAAGGGGCCGGGCUCAUCUGGAAGGAAGGCGGCUGGAGGGGCCGUCACUGGGGUGCAGGGGUGCAGCCUGGCGCAGAGAGAUCACCUGGAGGGGCCCCGGCCCGUCAGGGACAGCAGCAGUGCUGAGAACCCCACAUGUGGGCUGCCCCAGAGAACCCACCUAUGUGCAAAUGUGCCCCCAGGAGAAAGCCGGCCCUGGCUGGCUGGGGUGACGAGGGUACCCAGUACCAUGUCCUGGGGUGACGAAGGGCUCAGCCCCGAAGCUGGGGGGGCAGCCAGGAGGGCCGGACAGACCUGGACACCGCCUCACGCUGCCUUCUAGAACAUUCACCUGCCCACAGGUGGGGCCCCAGCCUCCUCCACUGGGGGAAAGGGGACCCUGCCCUCAGCCACCUGCUUGGACGUGAGCUGCCGUCCAGAAGUGAGGGGCG